RNAcentral lists this ribosomal RNA (497 nucleotides) under uncultured bacterium. Its description in RNAcentral is "partial 16S ribosomal RNA". It matches the Rfam family "Bacterial small subunit ribosomal RNA", at positions 28 to 507 of the family's 1533-position model. The record is from RNAcentral.
GAUGAACGCUGGCGGCGUGCCUAAUACAUGCAAGUCGAGCGAACAGACGAGGAGCUUGCACCUCUGACGUUAGCGGCGGACGGGUGAGUAACACGUGGAUAACCUACCUAUAAGACUGGGAUAACUUCGGGAAACCGGAGCUAAUACCGGAUAAUAUAUUGAACCGCAUGGUUCAAUAGUGAAAGACGGUUUUGCUGUCACUUAUAGAUGGAUCCGCGCCGCAUUAGCUAGUUGGUAAGGUAACGGCUUACCAAGGCGACGAUGCGUAGCCGACCUGAGAGGGUGAUCGGCCACACUGGAACUGAGACACGGUCCAGACUCCUACGGGAGGCAGCAGUAGGGAAUCUUCCGCAAUGGGCGAAAGCCUGACGGAGCAACGCCGCGUGAGUGAUGAAGGUCUUCGGAUCGUAAAACUCUGUUAUUAGGGAAGAACAAAUGUGUAAGUAACUAUGCACGUCUUGACGGUACCUAAUCAGAAAGCCACGGCUAACUACGUG